RNAcentral lists this antisense RNA (192 nucleotides) under Gibbsiella quercinecans. Its description in RNAcentral is "Yersinia sRNA 251". It matches the Rfam family "Yersinia sRNA 251". Rfam says of the family: Antisense to phoH gene. Trimmed on 5'end from the original size. The record is from RNAcentral. Lineage: Bacteria; Pseudomonadati; Pseudomonadota; Gammaproteobacteria; Enterobacterales; Yersiniaceae.
GUAGGCAUGGAGCGUGCGCUGGCACAGGGCGGAGCGCACACAGUCUUGUUUUUCAAAGCGGAUAAUACCGACCAUCUCGUCUUCUUCGAAGCGUUCAAGCGCAUCGCUAAGGCCGGAUUUUACCCCGCGCGGCAGGUCGCACUGGGUGAUAUCCCCGUUGACGAUCACCGUCACGUUCUCACCCAGACGGGU